AAAGUUCCGGCGGCUAAAGAUGGGCAUGCGUGGCAUUAGUUAGUUGGUGAGGUAACGGCUCACCAAGGCAAUGAUGCCUAUGGGUCCUGAGAGGGUUACCCCCACAGUGGUACUGAGACACGGACCAGACUCCUACGGGAGGCAGCAGUAAGGAAUAUUGGGCAAUAGGCGCAAGCCUGACCCAGCCAUGCCGCGUGCAUGAUGACGGCCCUAUGGGUUGUAAACUGCUUUUGUAUGGGAAAAAAUUCCCGCACGUGUGCGGGACUGAUUGUACCAUACGAAUAAGCAUCGGGUAACUCCGUGCCAGCAGCCGCGGUAAUACGGAGGAUGCAAGCGUCAUCCGGAUUUAUUGGGUUUAAAGGGUGCGCAGGCGGAUUAGUAAGUCAGUGGUGAAAGCUCCCGGCUCAACCGGGAAAAUGCCAUUGAUACUGUGAAUCUUGAGUACAGUCGAGGUUGGCGGAAUGUAUCAUGUAGCGGCGAAAUGCAUAGAUAUGAUACAGAACACCGAUAGCGAAGGCAGGUUACCAAAGUGUAACCGACGCUCAUGCACGAAAGCGUGGAGAGCAAACAGGAUUAGAUAGCCUGGUAGUCCACGCUGUAAACUAUGAUCACUCGCUGUU
Molecule: ribosomal RNA, 620 nt
Filed under: uncultured organism
Description: bacterial SSU rRNA
Rfam family: Bacterial small subunit ribosomal RNA
Source: RNAcentral